AGGGAAAGGUGAAAAGCACCCCGCGAGGGGAGUGAAAUAGUUCCUGAAACCAUGCGCCUACAAGCGGUCGGAGCCGCGCAAGCGGUGACGGCGUGCCUUUUGCAUAAUGAACCUACGAGUUACCAUGUCCGGCAAGGUUUAGCGGUUCAGCCGCGCAGCCUCAGUGAAAGCGAGCCUGAAGAGGGCGUUUAAGUCGGAUGGGGUAGACGCGAAACCAAGUGAUCUACACUUGCCCAGGUUGAAGUUCCGGUAACACGGAAUGGAGGACCGAACCAAUAAGCGUUGAAAAGCUUCUGGAUGAGGUGAGUGUAGGAGUGAAAGGCCAAUCAAACUUGGAGAUAGCUCGUACUCCCCGAAAGGCAUUUAGGUGCCGCGUGCAGUGUUCUCCAUGAGAGGUAGAGCGACCGAUAGGUCAAGAGGGCUUCACCGCCUAUCGCGACCUGACGAACUCCGAAUGCUCAUGGACGGUAGCUGUGCAGUAAGGGGGCGGGUGCUAAGGUCCGUCCCCGAGAGGAGAAGAAUCCUGACCGCCGUCUAAGGUCCCGAAAUUCUGUGCUUAGUUAGUCUAACGAAGUCUGGUCCCCGUGACAGCUAGGAUGUUGGCUUGGAAGCAGCCAUUCAUUCAAAGAGUGCGUAACAGCUCACUAGUCGAGGGUCCGGGCGUGGAUAAUAAUCGGGUAUAAGCCAGAUACCGAAGACGCGGGAUAGCAUUGUAUAUAAAAAGUAUCGGUAGGGGAGCAUUCCAUCGACGCAGAAUGGUGAUAUUGAUUGAUCCUGGAGUUUAUGGAAAAGCAAAUGUAGGUAUAAGUAACGAUAAAAAGGGUGUGAUUCCCUUUCGCCGUAAGACCGAGGUUUCCCGGGCGAUGCCAAUCAGCCCGGGGUCAGUCGGGUCCUAAGCCUCAGCCGAAUGGCGAUGGCGAUGGCAGACACGGUUAAUAUUCCGUGACUUGCGCAUAUAGCGAUGUGGAGACGGAGCAGUGACACUGUCGCGUCCUGACGGAAAUGGGCGUUGAAGGUUGUAGGUGUUGAGGGAUACAGGCAAAUCCGUAUUCCGAGCUGAAUUCCGACAGUACGGUCUUCUUUUCGGAGACGACCGACAGCACAGGUAAUCAUACUCCCUAGAAAAUCCGCUAAGCAUAUGUUUGCGCAACCCGUACCGCAAACGGACACACGUGGUCGGGUAGAACAUACCAAGGCGUUGAGAGAUUCAUGGUUAAGGAACUAGGCAAACUGACCCCGUAACUUCGGGAAAAGGGGUCCUCAUGGCGACAUGAGGCGCAGAGAAUAGGUCCAGGCAACUGUUUAACAAAAACACAGGGCUGUGCCAACUCGAAAGAUGACGUAUACAGCCUGACACCUGCCCGGUGCCGGAAGGUUAAGAGGAGAUGUCACACUUAUGUGGAAGCAUUGAAUUGAAGCCCCGGUAAACGGCGGCCGUAACUAUAACGGUCCUAAGGUAGCGAAAUUCCUUGUCGGGU
RNAcentral lists this ribosomal RNA (1478 nucleotides) under human gut metagenome. RNAcentral describes it as "bacterial LSU rRNA". It matches the Rfam family "Bacterial large subunit ribosomal RNA", at positions 506 to 1977 of the family's 2925-position model. The record is from RNAcentral.